GCAGCUUUGUUGUGUUCAUGACAGGAGAUAAAAUUAAAAUUUUAACUACUGCCUCAGCAAAGCCCCAGUACCCCCUCCUCCUCAGAAUCUCCUGUCUGACACACCUUGAAGGAGGAAUCUCUUUGAAGGUCCAUCAGUGAAGAAAGCUGUGGCAAUUCUUAUCAUGGCUGGACUCCAUUUUCAGAGCAAGGGAAAUUCCAGCAAAACUUCCAGACCCAUCAAGGUGGUUUAGCUCUUAUUCAUCACCCUCCUGGCAUCCAGGCUUGAAAUCCUUAAUGUGAUUAGUGCCGGGGAAACGAUUUUCAUCCUGCUCAGCUUUACUCACAGCCCCUGGUAAAGUGCAAGACCUGGUGGCUGAGGGGAGAGGGUUGACUGAAAUCUCCCCCUUUUACAGCAGAGCUGGAAUGGCAGGGCUCUGUCCCCAGAGAUCCCGUGGCACACAAAUGUCCCUUUGCUCCAUGGCAAACAGAGCCACAACAAUCACAUCCAUCCAUGGCAGGAGCACUGAGAAGAGAGAAAAGCUGGAGCUGUUGUGGCAGAAGUAGGGACAGCCAGGAGGAAUGCCUGCAAACAUCCUGACAUUGAACUUCUAAUUCCAUUUUCCGUAAGGACGCUGGCAUCUGGUGUGUUAUUAAGUAACUCGGUGGAGAUCUGUUAAAUGCAUAACCUCCCUGCACAAAGGAUACAUUCUUUUACUGCCUUUCUCCCUUUAACCCCUGCUUCCCUUUGAUACUUGCCUGCUCCACAGUUGCCAAUCAUGAUUUUGCAAACUCAGUUGAAACAUUUCAGUGGGACAAAUCACCCUGUUUUUUUCACUCCCUGCCAUCCUCAGGAGUUUACAGUCAGAACCUCCAUUGCUUUCAGCCUGAAAUUUCCCUUUGCUUUCCUGCAAAUCCUUGGAGUUGUUUUCAACAAGAUGCACCAAGGUGUUUCACCAAGAGAAAAAACAUCUGACAAAAGUUCCCAGGGCAGAUGGAAGAAAAUGGGCAUCAGUUUAGAUUGUCUGUGCCAGGAAAUAUAUAAUAAUGCCGUCAUUCUUAAGACAACUCUGCAGCAGCAGGCUCAGACAGCUACAAAGUGGAGCACAUGCAUGGAUUUGUCAUCCUGUCUUACUCUUAAACAACAUUGGCUUCUUUGUCAAUUGUGAGGAACUGGGGGGGAAAGCCCCUUGGAGAUGAGCCACACGUUUCUUGGUUCCUGAGCUCUGAUGGCAAUGUUGGCUGCAACACAAUCCUUUUUUUAGAAAGGAGAGGUGAGCAUCUUGUGCAACUUGCUCAGAAAAGUCAACAGAUGUGUUUGACAAAUGAACUUUCUUGACACAAGUUGACUUGUGACACCCAAGAACAGGAUGUGUGUGACGGUGUAAAUCCGAUGUUCCAGACAGAGCAGGAGGGCUGUUACCUGCUCCCUGCUGCCCCACUUCUGGUGUCCACCAUCAAUCCAUGCUGGUGGACAUCUGAUGUUUCUAUUUGAACUACUGAUUUGGUAAGGCUGUGUCUUUUACCAGGUUCAGCUGAGUGUGGCAGGUCCUUCUGAGGGGACGCUUUUCUCCACCUCCUCCUUUUUCACAGUACUCAGAACAUGAAGAGAUUCACUCCUUCCUCUGUCUCAUGGACAAAUAAAUACAGGCUCUGUGGAUCUGUUCUCA
Long non-coding RNA from Cyanistes caeruleus (blue tit), 1648 nucleotides. The record is from Ensembl. Lineage: Eukaryota; Metazoa; Chordata; Aves; Passeriformes; Paridae.